UGGUUCUGGCAUCGAUGAAGAACGCAGCGAAAUGCGAUAAGUAAUGUGAAUUGCAGAAUUCAGUGAAUCAUCGAAUCUUUGAACGCAUAUUGCGCCCAUUAGUAUUCUAGUGGGCAUGCCUGUUCGAGCGUCAUUUCAACCCUUAAGCCCCUGUUGCUUAGCGUUGGGAGCCUACAGUUCUGCUGUAGCUUCUCAAAGUUAGUGGCGGAGUCGGUUCACACUCUAGACGUAGUAAAUAUUAUCUCGUCUGCAGUUGCGCCGGCCCCUUGCCAUAAAACCCCUUCAUUUUUUUUUUAAAAAAGGUUGACCUCGGAUCAGGUAGGAAUACCCGCUGA
This 335-nucleotide unclassified non-coding RNA is filed under the name uncultured fungus. Its description in RNAcentral is "partial contains 5.8S ribosomal RNA and internal transcribed spacer 2". The stretch from base 1 to 133 matches the Rfam family "5.8S ribosomal RNA", at positions 22 to 154 of the family's 154-position model. The record is from RNAcentral. Lineage: Eukaryota; Fungi.